AACGAACGCUGGCGGCAUGCCUAACACAUGCAAGUCGAACGAGAUCUUCGGGUCUAGUGGCGCACGGGUGCGUAACGCGUGGGAAUCUGCCCUUUGGUUCGGAAUAACAGUUGGAAACGACUGCUAAUACCGGAUGAUGACGAAAGUCCAAAGAUUUAUCGCCAGAGGAUGAGCCCGCGUAGGAUUAGCUAGUUGGUGUGGUAAAGGCGCACCAAGGCGACGAGCCUUAGCUGGUCUGAGAGGAUGAUCAGCCACACUGGGACUGAGACACGGCCCAGACUCCUACGGGUGGCAGCAGUGGGGAAUAUUGGACAAUGGGCGAAAGCCUGAUCCAGCAAUGCCGCGUGAGUGAUGAAGGCCUUAGAGUUGUAAAGCUCUUUUACCCGGGAUGAUAAUGACAGUACCGGGAGAAUAAGCUCCGGCUAACUCCGUGCCAGCCGCCGCGGUAA
RNAcentral lists this ribosomal RNA (449 nucleotides) under uncultured bacterium. RNAcentral describes it as "partial 16S ribosomal RNA". It matches the Rfam family "Bacterial small subunit ribosomal RNA", at positions 29 to 523 of the family's 1533-position model. The record is from RNAcentral.